This 519-nucleotide ribosomal RNA is filed under the name uncultured Streptomyces sp. RNAcentral's name for it is "bacterial SSU rRNA". It matches the Rfam family "Bacterial small subunit ribosomal RNA", at positions 144 to 674 of the family's 1533-position model. Lineage: Bacteria; Bacillati; Actinomycetota; Actinomycetes; Kitasatosporales; Streptomycetaceae. The record is from RNAcentral.
CAAGCCCUGGAAACGGGGUCUAAUACCGGAUGGGACUGCCGGCCGCAUGGUCUGGUGGUGGAAAGCGUUUAGUGGUGCAGGAUGAGCCCGCGGCCUAUCAGCUUGUUGGUGGGGUGAGUGCCUACCAAGGCGACGACGGGUAGCCGGCCUGAGAGGGCGACCGGCCACACUGGGACUGAGACACGGCCCAGACUCCUACGGGAGGCAGCAGUGGGGAAUAUUGCACAAUGGGCGGAAGCCUGAUGCAGCGACGCCGCGUGAGGGAUGACGGCCUUCGGGUUGUAAACCUCUUUCAGCAGGGAAGAAGCCGCAAGUGACGGUACCUGCAGAAGAAGCACCGGCUAACUACGUGCCAGCAGCCGCGGUAAUACGUAGGGUGCGAGCGUUGUCCGGAAUUAUUGGGCGUAAAGAGCUCGUAGGCGGCGUGUCACGUCGGAUGUGAAAGCCCGGGGCUUAACUCCGGGUUUGCAUUCGAUACGGGCAGGCUAGAGUUCGGUAGGGGAGAUCGGAAUUCCUGGU